UACGUAGGUGGCAAGCGUUGUCCGGAAUUAUUGGGCGUAAAGGGCGUGUAGGUGGAUCUUUAAGUCGUGUGUCUAAGUGCGGGGCUCAACUCCGUAUAGGCGCAGGAAACUGGGGAUCUUGAGUGCAGGAGAGGAAAGUGGAAUUCCCAGUGUAGCGGUGAAAUGCGUAGAUAUUGGGAGGAACACCAGUGGCGAAGGCGACUUUCUGGACUGUGUCUGACACUGAGGCGCGAAAGCUAGGGGAG
This 245-nucleotide ribosomal RNA is filed under the name uncultured Sporomusa sp. RNAcentral describes it as "partial 16S ribosomal RNA". It matches the Rfam family "Bacterial small subunit ribosomal RNA", at positions 524 to 768 of the family's 1533-position model. Lineage: Bacteria; Bacillati; Bacillota; Negativicutes; Selenomonadales; Sporomusaceae. The record is from RNAcentral.